RNAcentral lists this ribosomal RNA (384 nucleotides) under uncultured prokaryote. RNAcentral's name for it is "bacterial SSU rRNA". It matches the Rfam family "Archaeal small subunit ribosomal RNA", at positions 341 to 725 of the family's 1478-position model. The record is from RNAcentral.
GCGAAAACUUUACAAUGCUGGCAACAGCGAUAAGGGAACCUCGCGUGCCAGGUUACAAAUCUGGCUGUCGAGAUGCCUAAAAAGCAUUUCAUAGCAAGGGCCGGGCAAGACCGGAGCCAGCCGCAGCGGUAACACCGGCGGCUCGAGAGGUAACCGUUAUCAUUGGGUCUAAAGGGUCUGUAGCCGGCCGGAUAAGUCCCUUGAGAAAUCUGGCCGCUUAACUGUCAGGCUUUCAGGAGAUACUGUCUGGCUCGAGGCCGGGAGAGGUGUGAGGUACUUCAGGGGUAGUGGUGAAAUCUUGUGAUCCUUGAAGGAGCACCAGUGGCGAAGGCGGCUCACCAGAACGGACCUGACGGCGAGGGACGAAAGCUAGGGGCACAAACC